GAAUCACUUAGGGCUCUUUGGAAUGCCUCCUUUCCUGAUACAGAGCUAAAUAGCUUAGUUUCAGCACAGUGGAAAGAUAUGGGGUGGCAGGGCGUGAACCCAGCGACUGAUUUCAGGGGCUGUGGAUUUAUUUCACUUGAGAACCUUUUGUUUUUCGCAACAACAUAUCCGGCUCCUUUCAAGAGGUUAAUGCUGAAGCAGCAAGGAAUGCGAGCUGUGUGGGAGUACCCCUUUGCGGUUGCCGGUAUAAACAUCUCAU
This is a long non-coding RNA of Panicum virgatum (switchgrass), 259 nucleotides long. RefSeq lists it as uncharacterized. NCBI's taxonomy places the organism in Eukaryota, Viridiplantae, Streptophyta, Magnoliopsida, Poales, Poaceae. The record is from RefSeq and is a predicted model, not a curated record. The transcript is spliced from 3 exons.